This 460-nucleotide ribosomal RNA is filed under the name uncultured bacterium. RNAcentral describes it as "partial 16S ribosomal RNA". It matches the Rfam family "Bacterial small subunit ribosomal RNA", at positions 338 to 795 of the family's 1533-position model. The record is from RNAcentral.
CCUACGGGAGGCAGCAGUGAGGAAUAUUGGUCAAUGGACGAGAGUCUGAACCAGCCAAGUAGCGUGAAGGAUGACUGCCCUAUGGGUUGUAAACUUCUUUUAUAUUGGAAUAAAAUGUUCCACGUGUGGGAUUUUGUAUGUACCAUAUGAAUAAGGAUCGGCUAACUCCGUGCCAGCAGCCGCGGUAAUACGGAGGAUCCGAGCGUUAUCCGGAUUUAUUGGGUUUAAAGGGAGCGUAGGUGGAUUGUUAAGUCAGUUGUGAAAGUUUGCGGCUCAACCGUAAAAUUGCAGUUGAAACUGGCAGUCUUGAGUACAGUAGAGGUGGGCGGAAUUCGUGGUGUAGCGGUGAAAUGCUUAGAUAUCACGAAGAACUCCGAUUGCGAAGGCAGUUCACUGGACUGCAACUGACACUGAGGCUCGAAAGUGUGGGUAUCAAACAGGAUUAGAUACCCCUGUAGUC